GGGGGAUAUUGCACAAUGGAGGAAACUCUGAUGCAGCAACGCCGCGUGAGCGAUGAAGGCCUUCGGGUUGUAAAGCUCUGUCUUCGCUGACGAUAAUGACGGUAAGCGAGGAGGAAGCCACGGCUAACUACGUGCCAGCAGCCGCGGUAAUACGUAGGUGGCAAGCGUUGUCCGGAAUUACUGGGCGUAAAGGAUGCGUAGGCGGCCUCUUAAGUGGGAUGUGAAAUGCCGGGGCUUAACCCCGGAGGUGCAUUCCAUACUGGGAGGCUAGAGUGCAGGAGAGGAAAGCGGAAUUCCCAGUGUAGCGGUGAAAUGCGUAGAGAUUGGGAGGAACACCAGUGGCGAAGGCGGCUUUCUGGACUGUAACUGACGCUGAGGCAUGAAAGUGUGGGGAGCAAAC
This 400-nucleotide ribosomal RNA is filed under the name uncultured bacterium. Its description in RNAcentral is "bacterial SSU rRNA". It matches the Rfam family "Bacterial small subunit ribosomal RNA", at positions 356 to 773 of the family's 1533-position model. The record is from RNAcentral.